CCUACGGGGGGCUGCAGUGGGGAAUUUUCCACAAUGGGCGAAAGCCUGAUGGAGCAAUACCGCGUGAGGGAUGAAGGACCGUGGUUCGUAAACCUCUUUUCUUAAGGAAGAACACAAUGACGGUACUUAAGGAAUAAGCACCGGCUAACUCCGUGCCAGCAGCCGCGGUAAUACGGGGGGUGCAAGCGUUGUCCGGAAUGAUUGGGCGUAAAGCAUCUGUAGGCGGUUUCGAAAGUCGACUGUUAAAGCCCAGGGCUUAACUUUGGAAAAGCAGU
This 275-nucleotide ribosomal RNA is filed under the name uncultured bacterium. RNAcentral describes it as "partial 16S ribosomal RNA". It matches the Rfam family "Bacterial small subunit ribosomal RNA", at positions 338 to 627 of the family's 1533-position model. The record is from RNAcentral.